CGGAUUCGUUAACCACUGUGCCAUGACAGGAAUUCCUAGAACUUUUUUUUUAAGUGGAAGUAAAUGAGUGGCUGAUAAGAGCUUUCUGCUGGGCUGCAGGCCAGUUCCCAUGACAAAGCACACUCUGCAGUCUUUAGCUGGCCUCUCCAGUUUGCCUGAAGGAGAAUAUGAGACAAAGGAGACAAUUUAGGACAAAGGUCUCCUCUGCUGCCUCCACCUUCACAGCCAGAAGUCAGCGAUGGAGAAAAGCAUAAAACAGACUCGGGGAGAGGAACUUAAACUGGGACCACAAGUGAGGUCCCUACAACCAUCUUGGAUCCAGGACCGUCCUCCAGACGCCGGCACCACAAGGUCCAGAUCUACGGUGACCACUAGGAAUCUGCUCCUCGGAGAGUCCAUCUCCGUCAUCGAUUCUGGGUAACACCCACCUUUUCCUUGUGCUCUCUUGAGCGCACUCUUGACCUUGCAACUAAAUGAACUGAACUAGAGCGGGCAUGGCUCAUGCACAGUCUUAAAAACAAAAUUCUGACUGUAAAAUUCGAAGGAUCCUAAGGGUUUUCUAACUCAAAGCAUGCAUGGAUUCUGACAAUUAAACAACACUUGCAACACCCAAAGCUGCUUGUAUUUCACGGCAUCAAGACAGAGGACAAGCUAUGACCAGACCUAACCGAAGUGCUUGUAACUGUGCAAAAGAGGUGAUGCUCAGUCCAGAGCAACGCAAAGACCAACUAAGAUUAUCCCCAGGGCCUAAGCUCUGCUGUGAGGGUGUGACUGACAUACAGUUAGGGCAGAGACAGUGAACCUCUAAAUGUCACUUUGGAUAGACAUAAACCAGUCCCUCAUCAAAGGCUGCAUUUUGUAAAAGGGCACCCACUGAGCAGCUCUUGACCUACCAGAACAUUGGCCUUCACAGCAUCCUGACAGACACAGUAUAAAGAGUUCUGGACUAAAAUGAAAGAUCCUGGGAGUUCCCACUGCGGUGCAGUGGGUUAAGGAACCGGCAUUGGCACAGCUGUGGUUUAAGUUGCAUCUGUGGCUCAGAUUCCAUCUCUGACCUGGGAACUUCUAUAUGCCUCAGGUGCAGCCAAAAACAACCAAACAAAAAGAGUGAUCCUGGGUAAGACUCCCAGCUCUUCAUGUAGCAGCCAUGUGACUUGAACAAGCAACUUUAACUUUCUAAGCCACAUCCAUGCAACAAAAAGCAAGUACUAAAUAAAAGAUCAUCAAUGGAUAAACAACAAUAUACCAUAUAGCACAGGGAACAAUAUGUAUUCAAUAUCCUGUGAUAAACCAUAAAGGAAAAGAAUAUGAAAAAGAAUCUAUAAGUAUUAUGCCUGUGUUACUUUGCCGUACGGUAGAGAUUAACACAUCAUUGUGACUCAACUGUACUUCAGUAAAAUAUGUAAUAAAAAAAGAUCAAGAU
Long non-coding RNA from Sus scrofa (pig), 1423 nucleotides. RefSeq lists it as uncharacterized. NCBI's taxonomy places the organism in Eukaryota, Metazoa, Chordata, Mammalia, Artiodactyla, Suidae. The record is from RefSeq and is a predicted model, not a curated record.